Molecule: ribosomal RNA, 397 nt
Filed under: uncultured bacterium
Lineage: Bacteria
Description: bacterial SSU rRNA
Rfam family: Bacterial small subunit ribosomal RNA
Source: RNAcentral
GACGAACGCUGGCGGCGUGCUUAACACAUGCAAGUCGAACGGGAUCCAUGGAGUAGCAAUACUCUGGAAGAUCUAGUGGCGAACGGGUGAGUAACACGUGAGCAACCUGCCCCAAAGACUGGGAUAACCCCGGGAAACCGGAGCUAAUACCGGAUGUCCUCAUUAGAUCGCAUGGUCAUAUGAGGAAAUGAAUUUUUCGCUUUGGGAGGGGCUCGCGGGCUAUCAGUUUGNGGUGGGGUAAUGGCCUACCAAGACAUCGACGGCUAGCUGGUCUGAGAGGACGAUCAGCCACACUGGGACUGAGACACGGCCCAGACUCCUACGGGAGGCAGCAGUGGGGAAUCUUGCCCAAUGGGCGAAAGCCUGAGGCAGCAACGCCGCGUGCGGGAUGACGGCC